Listeria floridensis FSL S10-1187 is the source of this 48-nucleotide non-coding RNA. The record is from Rfam. NCBI's taxonomy places the organism in Bacteria, Bacillati, Bacillota, Bacilli, Caryophanales, Listeriaceae.
AAAGAAUUUCCUCUGCACAAAUGAAAGAGACGAGGCAUUGUGUAGAGG